GACGAACGCUGGCGGCGUGCUUAACACAUGCAAGUCGUACGGUAAGGCCCUUUCUGGGGUCCACGAGUGGCGCACGGGUGAGUAGCACGUGAGUAACCUGCCCACAACUUUGGGAUAACGCUAGGAAACUGGGGCUAAUUCUGGAUAUGUUCUCCUGCUGCAUGGUGGGGGUUGGAAAGCUCCGGCGGUUGUGGAUGGACUCGCGGCCUAUCAGCUUGUUGGUGGGGUAGUGGCCUACCAAGGCGGCGACGUGUAGCCGGACUGAGAGGGUGACCGGCCAUACUGGGACGUAGAGACGGCCCAGACGCCUACGGGAGGCAGCAGUGGGGAAUAUUGCACAAUGGGCGCAAGCCUGAUGCAGCAAGGCCGCGUGCGGGAGGACGGCCUUCGGGUUGAAAACCGCUUUCAGCAGGGAAGAAGCUUUUUGUGACGGUACCUGCAGAAGAAGCACCGGCUAACUACGUG
Molecule: ribosomal RNA, 465 nt
Filed under: uncultured bacterium
Lineage: Bacteria
Description: partial 16S ribosomal RNA
Rfam family: Bacterial small subunit ribosomal RNA
Source: RNAcentral